AUGCCCUAGUAACGGCGAGUGAAGCGGCAACAGCUCAAAUUUGAAAUCUGGCUUCGGCCCGAGUUGUAAUUUGUAGAGGAAGCUUCUGGUGCGGCACCGGCUGAGUCCCCUGGAACGGGGCGCCAUAGAGGGUGAGAGCCCCGUAUAGCCGGCUGCCUAGCCUGUGUGAAGCUCCUUCGACGAGUCGAGUAGUUUGGGAAUGCUGCUCAAAAUGGGAGGUAAAUUCCUUCUAAAGCUAAAUAUUGGCCAGAGACCGAUAGCGCACAAGUAGAGUGAUCGAAAGAUGAAAAGCACUUUGAAAAGAGGGUUAAACAGCACGUGAAAUUGUUAAAAGGGAAGCGCUUGUGACCAGACUUGCGCCGGGGCGAUCAUCCGGUGUUCUCACCGGUGCACUCGCCCCGGCUCAGGCCAGCAUCGGUUUUCGCGGGGGGAUAAAGGCACCGGGAACGUAGCUCCUUCGGGAGUGUUAUAGCCCGGGGUGUAAUGCCCCCGCGGGGACCGAGGACCGCGCAUCUGCAAGGAUGCUGGCGUAAUGGUCACCAGCGACCCGUCUUGAAACACGGACCAAGGAGUCAAGGUUUUGCGCGAGUGUUUGGGUGUAAAACCCGCACGCGUAAUGAAAGUGAACGUAGGUGAGAGCUUCGGCGCAUCAUCGACCGAUCCUGAUGUAUUCGGAUGGAUUUGAGUAGGAGCGUUAAGCCUUGGACCCGAAAGAUGGUGAACUAUGCUUGGAUAGGGUGAAGCCAGAGGAAACUCUGGUGGAGGCUCGCAGCGGUUCUGACGUGCAAAUCGAUCGUCAAAUCUGAGCAUGGGGGCGAAAGACUAAUCGAACCAUCUAGUAGCUGGUUACCGCCGAAGUUUCCCUCAGGAUAGCAGUGUUGUUCUUCAGUUUUAUGAGGUAAAGCGAAUGAUUAGGGACUCGGGGGCGCUAUUUAGCCUUCAUCCAUUCUCAAACUUUAAAUAUGUAAGAAGCCCUUGUUACUUAAUGAACGUGGGCAUU
RNAcentral lists this ribosomal RNA (1000 nucleotides) under Zygospermella insignis. RNAcentral's name for it is "LSU rRNA". It matches the Rfam family "Eukaryotic large subunit ribosomal RNA", at positions 73 to 1109 of the family's 3401-position model. The record is from RNAcentral. Lineage: Eukaryota; Fungi; Ascomycota; Sordariomycetes; Sordariales; Lasiosphaeriaceae.